This 406-nucleotide ribosomal RNA is filed under the name uncultured bacterium. RNAcentral describes it as "partial 16S ribosomal RNA". It matches the Rfam family "Bacterial small subunit ribosomal RNA", at positions 30 to 526 of the family's 1533-position model. The record is from RNAcentral.
AUUGAACGCUGGCGGCAGGCCUAACACAUGCAAGUCGAACGAGUGGCGGACGGGUGAGUAAUGUCUGGGAAACUGCCUGAUGGAGGGGGAUGACUACUGGAAACGGUAGCUCAUACAGCCUACCCUAGGCUGUGCCCAGAUGGGAUUAGCUAGUAGGUGGGGUAAAGGCUCACCUUGGCGAUGAUCCCUAGCUGGUCUGAGAGGAUGACCAGCCACACUGGAACUGAGACACUGUCCAGACGCCGACGUGAGGAAGCAGUGGGGAAGAUUGCACAAUGGGCGCAAGCCUGAUGCAGCCAUGCCGCGUGUAUGAAGAAGGCCUUCGGGUUGUAAAGUACUUUCAGCGGGGAGGCGUUACCCGCAGAAGAAGCAGCGGCUAACUCCGUGCCAGCAGCCGCGGUAAUUC